CCUACGGGAGGCAGCAGUGGGGAAUAUUGGGCAAUGGGCGCAAGCCUGACCCAGCAACGCCGCGUGAAGGAAGAAGGCUUUCGGGUUGUAAACUUCUUUUCUGAGGGACGAAGAGAGUGACGGUACCUCAGGAAUAAGCCACGGCUAACUACGUGCCAGCAGCCGCGGGAAUACGUAGGUGGCAAGAGUUAUCCGGAUUUAUUGGGUGUAAAGGGCGUGUAGGCGGGAAAGCAAGUGAGAUGUGAAAACUCAGGGCUCAACUCUGAGCUUGCAUGUGAAACUGUUUUUCUUGAGUGCUCGAGAGGCAAUCGGAAUUCCGGGUGUAGCGGUGAAAUGCGUAGAUAUACGGAGGAACACCAGUGGCGAAGGCGGAUUGCUGGACAGUAACUGACGCUGAGGCGCGAAAGCGCGGGGAGCAAACAGGAUUAGAUACCCUUGUAGUC
This 443-nucleotide ribosomal RNA is filed under the name uncultured bacterium. RNAcentral describes it as "partial 16S ribosomal RNA". It matches the Rfam family "Bacterial small subunit ribosomal RNA", at positions 338 to 795 of the family's 1533-position model. The record is from RNAcentral.